UCCGGCUUGUCACCGGCAGUUCCCCUAGAGUGCCCGGCCGAACCGAUGGCAACUAAGGGCGAGGGUUGCGCUCGUUGCGGGACUUAACCCAACAUCUCACGACACGAGCUGACGACAGCCAUGCAGCACCUGUCUCAGAGUUCCCGAAGGCACCAAUCCAUCUCUGGAAAGUUCUCUGGAUGUCAAGACCUGGUAAGGUUCUUCGCGUUGCGUCGAAUU
Molecule: unclassified non-coding RNA, 219 nt
Filed under: uncultured bacterium
Lineage: Bacteria
Description: contains 16S-23S intergenic spacer region
Source: RNAcentral